RNAcentral lists this ribosomal RNA (465 nucleotides) under Vreelandella stevensii. RNAcentral's name for it is "partial 16S ribosomal RNA". It matches the Rfam family "Bacterial small subunit ribosomal RNA", at positions 338 to 793 of the family's 1533-position model. The record is from RNAcentral. Lineage: Bacteria; Pseudomonadati; Pseudomonadota; Gammaproteobacteria; Oceanospirillales; Halomonadaceae.
CCUACGGGGGGCUGCAGUGGGGAAUAUUGGACAAUGGGGGCAACCCUGAUCCAGCCAUGCCGCGUGUGUGAAGAAGGCCCUCGGGUUGUAAAGCACUUUCAGUGAGGAAGAACGCCUGGUGGUUAAUACCCAUCAGGAAAGACAUCACUCACAGAAGAAGCACCGGCUAACUCCGUGCCAGCAGCCGCGGUAAUACGGAGGGUGCGAGCGUUAAUCGGAAUUACUGGGCGUAAAGCGCGCGUAGGUGGCUUGAUAAGCCGGUUGUGAAAGCCCCGGGCUCAACCUGGGAACGGCAUCCGGAGCUGUCAAGCUAGAGGGCAGGCGAGGGAGGUAUCAGCCCCGGUGUAGCGGUGACCUGCGGAGAGCUCGGGAGGACGAGCAGUGGCGAAGGCGGCCGUAAGGACUGACAAUGACAGUGAGGUGGCAUUCCGUGAGUCGCAACCCGGACAAGAGGGCCCACUACUG